ACACAAUAACAUGACAUUCACACCGCAGUAAAUUUCUAUUACCAGAAAGAUUGAGACUUGAGCGAAAGAGAUGGGGAGCAAUUGCUCCAAAGGGAGGAGAGAAGAUGGGGACACAACCACUUUCUCCAAAAAUCAAAGUUUGUCUUGGAGAAGAAAAACGGGGUACACUGAAGGGAGGAUCGCAGAGGGCAACAGUCUCAUUGGUGGUGAAACACCCUGUCAACAAAGUCUUCCUAGCCUACAAUCUCCAUUCUCACCAGCAUACAAUCCCCAGUUUUCCCUCACAGCUGAGGGUGGAAGCAAUCUAUGUGCCCCAGUGAUCAGCAAUAAUGAAGUAGGAGGUAGCAUCAACAUCAC
Molecule: long non-coding RNA, 357 nt
Organism: Oncorhynchus tshawytscha (Chinook salmon)
Lineage: Eukaryota; Metazoa; Chordata; Actinopteri; Salmoniformes; Salmonidae
Source: Ensembl